AGUACAGGUAUGAAGAUAUAAAUUGGUGUGAAUAUACUGUGUAUACAACCAGAGAUAUGAAAAACUGCUCUAUAUGUGUACGAAGAAUUUUAAUGAUUCCACUGUCAUACAUAAAUAAAAAAAUAGUAAUAAUUAAUUAAUUUUAAAAAUGACCCUGGUAGCCCCCUUAUUACUCUUUUAAUUUGCUUAAAAGUCAGCCAAAAUACUCUGCCAGCACAAAUCUGAACUGACAAAAUGCUUAGUGGUUGUAGGAUUGUCUAGGAGCAGGUUUGACUCUAAUGUAAACAGAAUAAGAAAAAAAUUCUGAUCCUCUAACUGCUUGAAUAUGGAUUUCAAGAUGUCUCCAAGUAGAAUGGAAGCUAUCCUGACUAAAACCUGGAGCCCCGGAGGAUCCUGAUGACACAGAGCGGCAAACUGUCCUUUUGACUUCAGCCCUGAAGUUAGCUAAGUGCGUCGUCUCCAGUGCACGGCUCAAUCAGUUAACACCGAGUGUCAUCAGUAUGUACAGCAUGUAAGAACUACAGUAUUGAUGCAUUCACUCAGCCGUGGGGAGCGCUGCACAAAAUCACUGAACAUGGCAGGAAUCAUUUAUUUCUGUGAAGGGAAUCAGUCCUAAUCUUGGAAACCUUGCAGCAUUUGGCUUCUGUCUGCUUGACUUUGGGCAUUAACCUUCAGAACACGAACAGGACGGGGUUCUGGCAAAUCCAGGGGAAAAAAAAAAUAUGAGAAUAAAUCUGUCCAAAUGGGAGUGCUUUGUGUUUCCUAAAUGAUCGACCAUGGUGAUGAUAAUGUAAUUAAAGACAUUUAAAAGUUUU
Molecule: non-coding RNA, 815 nt
Organism: Ictidomys tridecemlineatus (thirteen-lined ground squirrel)
Lineage: Eukaryota; Metazoa; Chordata; Mammalia; Rodentia; Sciuridae
Source: RefSeq, a predicted model, not a curated record